UACGGAGGGUGCAAGCGUUGAUCGGAAUUACUGGGCGUAAAGCGCACGUAGGCGGCUGUGUAAGUUCGAGGUGAAAGCCUGGUGCUCAACAGCAGAAUUGCCUUUAAUACUGCACGGCUUGAGUCCUGUAGAGGGGGGUGGAAUUCCAGGUGUAGCGGUGAAAUGCGUAGAUAUCUGGAAGAACACCGGUGGCGAAGGCGGCUCCCUGGAC
RNAcentral lists this ribosomal RNA (211 nucleotides) under uncultured bacterium. RNAcentral describes it as "partial 16S ribosomal RNA". It matches the Rfam family "Bacterial small subunit ribosomal RNA", at positions 524 to 734 of the family's 1533-position model. The record is from RNAcentral.